UUCAGAAAAUGCCUUUGUACAGUGAUUUUUUUCCAAGUAGAUUCAGAAAUGUGAUUUAAGUGUGAUAUAUAGGUAUAGAAAGAGUUCUGCCUUUGCUUUAAGCAAGUUUAGUGUGAGAGAGGAAGAAACAUCUUGUGAGGUGCAUACAUUAUUAAUAAUCGACUUUUUGAAGAGUUUUGAUUAUUUGUGACAAUAAUCUUAAUUGAAAAGAUUUAAGUGGUAUAAAAGUAGAUGAAUUUCAUAUGGAGUUUUUACCCCAUUUGACUGAAGUUUUUCAGCUUCUUUACAGAUUUCUGUAUGAAUAAAAUGCUGAACAACUACAGCAAUAACAAAAACUGAGUAAAAUUCCUAAAUUCCAUUGUUAUGUUUUAUAAUUAAUGAUCCUAUAGGCCUGAGAGUGUCUAUGGCUUCUUAGGGUUUUUGGUGGCUGUUUUUUAAUGUGGGAGUUUGAAUUUUACAAAAAUAUUCUAAAUGGAAGAAGAGCUGUGAAAUCUUCCAGCAAACUAAGUGAACUAAGGAUUGUAUUGCCUGUGCUUUGAAACAGAGGACGAAGUAUAGACAGGUCCUUUACAGAACAUUAUUUCUCAGAGGUCAUAGCACUUGUGUUGUCAUUUUCCUGUAAUUCAUUCUGCUGUUCCCCACCCUCUCAGCUCCUACUCAGACUGUACUUCUGGUGCCCUAAGUGUUUUGGUUUUUUCUGAUCAGCUGGAGUUAUUUGGUUUCACAGGAGGGUGAUCUGAUUUCUCCUGAGCCUCUAUUAAAAGAAGGUUGAAGGGCAUGGUUCUGAGUUUCUUUGUUUUUGCUUAGUGGUAGCCAGAGGCACAGGGCUAUGUAGAAUUUUCAGAAGGAAAAAGAAAUUAAGGCUCUAUUGCCAUUCCAUUGACUAUUGCCAUUCUAGAAUUUAGGGUAUCUAUGUCUAUGCAAUUUCUUUCUUUUUGUUUGUUUUUUGGCGGCUGGCUGGGAUGGGGGUCUGAACCCUUGUCCGUGGUGUUAUAACACUGUGCUCUAACCAACGGAGCUAACCAGCCAGCUGGGUCUAUGCCAUUUCUGCCCUAUGUCAGAAAUUAGCUCUGGACUCUAGCAGUUAGAGACUGUACGAGUAGUAACAUGCUUUAGUGACGUUGGUUGUGGCUGUAUGCCUUUGUGUGUUUUAGUUAAAUGUUCAUGCUUUAAAAAAUUCAGAUUCUUAUAUAUUUUUAACUUAUGUACAGGCAGAGCAGAGAUGUUGAGUGAAUUUUAGAUUCAUCUGUUAGUUUCUGUGUAUCCACAACUCAGAGCUUCAUCUGAUAAACUCAUCAUACUAUUUAUUAUAAAAAGUAGUGCCAUAAUCAAUGUAAAGUGUAACUGACUGCAUAAAUAAAAAUCAUUGCUUUAUAAGUGUCCAGA
Molecule: long non-coding RNA, 1386 nt
Organism: Galeopterus variegatus (Sunda flying lemur)
Lineage: Eukaryota; Metazoa; Chordata; Mammalia; Dermoptera; Cynocephalidae
Exons: 2
Source: RefSeq, a predicted model, not a curated record